Long non-coding RNA from Nilaparvata lugens (brown planthopper), 1271 nucleotides. RefSeq lists it as uncharacterized. The transcript has 4 exons. Lineage: Eukaryota; Metazoa; Arthropoda; Insecta; Hemiptera; Delphacidae. The record is from RefSeq and is a predicted model, not a curated record.
GUAAAUGCAUUACAUACAGACAGACGAAAGAAAAUCCGAGUUAUCAUAGAACUCACUGCGUUCGGCCAAUUAUCGUUAUUCAAAAAUUGCAUUCAAUCUUUAUUCUCAUUAAUUAAUUCUUCAUAUCUUGUAAAAUUCGUUCAAUAAUAAGAAAUAUUGCCAUUCAAUCUAAAUUAGUGUAUAAGCCAGCAGUGUAUUAUAUUGUAACAUAACAUAGGCCUGCAUGAAUAAAGAACUCUAAUCUAAUCUAAUCUAAUCCGUAAUCCCUACGCUGUAUGUUCUCUUUUCAACUGCAAAUGUCUUUAUUGAAUUCUUCAAUGUUGUUUUCCAUCACGAACUGCUUAUUAUUAAAUCUCUUUUUGCUUUUAGAAAAAACGACUAGCAGUCAGAUAUUUUUACAAUAAAUGAAUAAAUCACUCACUGGACAACGAGAUCUUUCGGCAGUUCCGCCAUCUUCUUGGUUGUCUUCUAUUGCUAUACUUUUUAGUACCGUACGGUAUAUUGUUUGAGUCUCUCCCCCUCCUACAAGCUCCUACUUUUGUAAUAGUAUGUAGGCCUAACUUUCACCAUUGUCCACGGCCGUGCUCUCUCUCUCGAAACUCACUCCUUCCUUGUCGAAGUAUUUUCGCGCCUUUUUGAGUUUUGUUUGCCUUUUCGCUAUAUAGUUAUUGGACUUGAUCUUCUUGUCUAAUGCAGUCGCAAGGGUUAGUUUCAGUUCAUCACGUAUUGAAUACAGAGUACAUUUCCUGUUUCCAGUGUUUUAUCCAGGCAUUUAUUUGUUUUGAAGUCACGUGAUCUUCUAUCAUCAAUGAGACGUAUGUCGCGUCAUGCGCCGAUAAAGCUUCGGAAGGGCGCACAAUCACAAGUAUCAUGGGGAAGCUGGUGACCCUUCCUUACCAUCCAAAGCAAGGACGACCAUAAGAGAGAGAAAAACCUUUCAAGGACCUUCUGAUAACUGAAGUUAUGAUUGAAGCUGCUACAAACCGGUGCUGGCCGAAGGCAGAAUUGAAGCAGGUCUAGUUGAAAGCGGCUUCGUGGCUUGCACAAGCCCAAUCCAAGUUGGACAAAAUGAAUCAGCCAUCAACACCAGCUACAAUAACAAUAAUCGACACCGAUUGUGAAGAUGAACCUCUCGAAUAGAUAAUAAUAUAAUAGUAGUGACAGAAAAGAUCAUAAAACGUGUCUACAUGUUCAAUUUACUGAUAUCAUAAACAAUAAAUUAGUUAUUGAUUAUAAUUACGGUUUUUAAUUGAAUAAUCAAUCCCUGAAAC